RNAcentral lists this ribosomal RNA (520 nucleotides) under uncultured bacterium. RNAcentral describes it as "bacterial SSU rRNA". It matches the Rfam family "Bacterial small subunit ribosomal RNA", at positions 777 to 1297 of the family's 1533-position model. The record is from RNAcentral.
AAUAGAUACCCCGGUAGUCCUUGCCGUAAACUAUGUAUACUUGGUGUAACUGGACUCAACCCUAGUUGUGCCGAAGCUAACGCGAUAAGUAUACCGCCUGGGGAGUACGCUCGCAAGGGUGAAACUCAAAAGAAUUGACGGGGACCCGCACAAGCAGUGGAGCAUGUGGUUUAAUUCGAUGCAACGCGAAGAACCUUACCCAGACUUGACAUACAGCGGAAUAUGGUAGAAAUAUCAUAGCCCUUCGGGGCCGCUGAACAGGUGCUGCAUGGCUGUCGUCAGCUCGUGCCGUGAGGUGUUGGGUUAAGUCCCGCAACGAGCGCAACCCUUAUCGUUAGUUGCCAACAGGUAAUGCUGGGAACUCUAGCGAGACUGCCUGGGUUAACCAGGAGGAAGGUGAGGAUGACGUCAAGUCCGCAUGGCCCUUAUGUCUGGGGCUACACACGUGCUACAAUGGUCGGUACAGAAGGCAGCGAAGCCGCGAGGUGAAGCAAAUCCCGAAAGCCGGCCCCAGUUCAGA